GAUGAACGCUGGCGGCGUGCCUAAUACAUGCAAGUCGAGCGAACAGACGAGGAGCUUGCUCCUCUGACGUUAGCGGCGGACGGGUGAGUAACACGUGGAUAACCUACCUAUAAGACUGGGAUAACUUCGGGAAACCGGAGCUAAUACCGGAUAAUAUAUUGAACCGCAUGGUUCAAUAGUGAAAGACGGUUUUGCUGUCACUUAUAGAUGGAUCCGCGCCGCAUUAGCUAGUUGGUAAGGUAACGGCUUACCAAGGCAACGAUGCGUAGCCGACCUGAGAGGGGGGUCGGCAACAAUGGAACUGAGCCGAGGUCCAGGCGCCUACGGGAGGGAGCAGUAGGGAAUUGGCCGUAAUGGGCGAAAGCCUGAAAGAGCAACUGCGCGGGAGUGAUGAAGGUCUUCGGAUCGUAAAACUCUGUUAGUAGGGAAGAACAAAUGUGGAAGUAAAUAUGCACGUCUUGACGGUACCUAAUCAGAAAGCCACGGCUAACUACGUG
RNAcentral lists this ribosomal RNA (497 nucleotides) under uncultured bacterium. RNAcentral's name for it is "partial 16S ribosomal RNA". It matches the Rfam family "Bacterial small subunit ribosomal RNA", at positions 28 to 507 of the family's 1533-position model. The record is from RNAcentral.